This 500-nucleotide ribosomal RNA is filed under the name uncultured bacterium. Its description in RNAcentral is "partial 16S ribosomal RNA". It matches the Rfam family "Bacterial small subunit ribosomal RNA", at positions 29 to 523 of the family's 1533-position model. The record is from RNAcentral.
AUUGAACGCUGGCGGCAUGCCUUACACAUGCAAGUCGAGCGGCAGCGCGGGGGCAACCCUGGCGGCGAGCGGCGAACGGGUGAGUAAUACGUCGGAACGUGUCCAGUAGUGGGGGAUAACCAGUCGAAAGACUGGCUAAUACCGCAUACGAUCCACGGAUGAAAGCGGGGGACCGCAAGGCCUCGCGCUAUUGGAGCGGCCGAUGUCGGAUUAGCUUGUUGGCGGGGUAAAAGCCCACCAAGGCGACGAUCCGUAGCUGGUCUGAGAGGACGACCAGCCACACUGGAACUGAGACACGGUCCAGACUCCUACGGGAGGCAGCAGUGGGGAAUUUUGGACAAUGGGCGCAAGCCUGAUCCAGCCAUGCCGCGUGAGUGAAGAAGGCCUUCGGGUUGUAAAGCUCUUUCGGCGGGGACGAAACGGUCCGUGCCAACACCACGGACUAAUGACGGUACUCGCAGAAGAAGCACCGGCUAACUACGUGCCAGCAGCCGCGGUAA